ACAUAAAAUAAAAGGUUUUUCUCCCAAAAAAAAAAAAACACAUAACACGAUUCUGGAAACACAAUUUGCUCUUCUUGCUCUAACCCAAAAUUGGAUCCAUGGAAAAACCAACUCUACUCUUCUUCUCCAAAUUGAAUCCGUUCAUCCCAAAUUUCUUCUUCUUCUCAGAUUCAAUUCACCAUAAACUCAGAAAUUGAUUAUUAGAAAACGCAUUCAAACUUAGAAAACGCGAUUCAAACUUAGAAUUGAUCUCCCAAAACCCUAAUCCUUUCCGCUGAGUUGAUUUUGGUCACAAAUUCAGAAAUUGAUAAUCCCUUCAGUUGUUAUUCAUUCCAAGAAAGCGGUGAACCCUAGCCUCAUUCAUAGCAACGCCAACUCUUUCGUCUCGUCACCGAAGCUCUCUGAAACACAUUCACGAAAAGCUCAUUCCGUCUCUGAAACGCAUUUACGAAACGAAGCUCAUUCCCUCUUUCUGAACACAUUCAUUCAUUCCCUCUCUCUGAAACGAAGCUCCUUCAUGGCCUGAAGCUCAUUCACGAAGGGAAGCUCGAUCUCAUUCCUUGAGGUUCAAACGAAGACAAUCGAAGCUCACUCAUGUCAGUAUGUCACUGUUGGAGCUGAUGAUGGAACUUUGUUCAUUCAAGUACAAAUUUUUACUUCAGUUUCGGAGAAUGGGGUUAGCCCAACUGUGUUAGGCGCAGAUUCCUUGUCAUGCAAAGGUCACUCAUUCGUUCUUUUCAAAACCUCCGGAUACUUGUUCUUAAGAAGGGUUCUAAAUCAGAUGGUCAAAUAUGAUUCCUAGAGGGAUGUGAUGUUGCAUUGCAAUUACAUGUCUCUGUAACUAGCUGAACAUGAAAGGAACAAUGUGAAAUUCUUUUUAUUCUGUUGAAGCUAUAGACAAAGUUUGCCUGCAUUCAUUUGAGUUACUAAUUAAUUUUGUUUUCCAUUCCUUGCACAUUUUGCUCUUUUAUGAGUAUAAUCAUAAAAUCAGGUUCUAUGUGCAAAAUGUUUGUUAUCUAAUUAGCUUCAAUAGUUCCUCCCAAAUUCCAAUAAUCAUUUCAUUUUUGGACUAAUUAUAUUAUAUAGUACUUAUAUUGUAAUUCUUUUUAUUUUAUUUUAGAUCAGGCUGACCUUAAAAGGUCGAUAUUUUUGGCUUAUGGGGGCUUAUUUCGAGUUAUAUAUAUACAAGAAAUUUGGAAGGUAGCUAGAGAGGACGUCAAAAUACUACUUUAUAAUAUGUUGUAGUCUCAUAUCUUAGUAAAGUUAAUCUUAGUUUUAUGAUGUAUUGUUAUGUUUUUGUUAAGAAAUCAUAGUAAUAAUGUAUUGUUCAUUAGGAUAUUUAAUGACUAUAUACAUGUUCAACAUAUUAUAACUUGUACUGCUAUAUAAUAGUAAUUUGAUUUGAUAUGUUUUCAUAUCUUAUUUUGGUGAUAUU
Long non-coding RNA from Trifolium pratense (red clover), 1435 nucleotides. RefSeq lists it as uncharacterized. Lineage: Eukaryota; Viridiplantae; Streptophyta; Magnoliopsida; Fabales; Fabaceae. The transcript has 5 exons. The record is from RefSeq and is a predicted model, not a curated record.